Molecule: ribosomal RNA, 305 nt
Filed under: uncultured bacterium
Lineage: Bacteria
Description: bacterial SSU rRNA
Rfam family: Bacterial small subunit ribosomal RNA
Source: RNAcentral
AAUCCUACGGGGGGCAGCAGUGGGGGAUAUUGCACAAUGGGGGGAACCCUGAUGCAGCGACGCCGCGUGAGUGAAGAAGCGCCUCGGCGCGUAAAGCCCUGUCAGCAGGGAAGAAAAUGACGGUACCUGAAGAAGAAGCCCCGGCUAACUACGUGCCAGCAGCCGCGGUAAUACGUAGGGAGCAAGCGUUAUCCGGAUUUACUGGGUGUAAAGGGCGUGUAGGCGGGCCUGCAAGUCAGAAGUGAAAUCUGGGGGCUUAACCCCUAAACUGCUUUUGAAACUGUGGGGCUUGAGUGAUGGAGAGG